UACGGAGGGUGCGAGCGUUAAUCGGAAUAACUGGGCGUAAAGGGCGCGCAGGCGGGCUUGUAAGACAGAGGUGAAAUCCCCGGGCUCAACCUGGGAAUAGCAUUUCAGACUGGGAGUCUAGAGUACUGUAGAGGGGGGUAGAAUUCCGCGUGUAGCGGUGAAAUGCGUAGAUAUGUGGAGGAACACCGAAGGCGAAGGCAGCCCCUUGGGAAUGUACUGACGCUCAUGCGCGAAAGCGUGGGGAGCAAACAGG
RNAcentral lists this ribosomal RNA (253 nucleotides) under uncultured bacterium. RNAcentral's name for it is "partial 16S ribosomal RNA". It matches the Rfam family "Bacterial small subunit ribosomal RNA", at positions 524 to 776 of the family's 1533-position model. The record is from RNAcentral.